Molecule: non-coding RNA, 108 nt
Organism: Marchantia polymorpha subsp. ruderalis
Lineage: Eukaryota; Viridiplantae; Streptophyta; Marchantiopsida; Marchantiales; Marchantiaceae
Source: the annotation of a GenBank genome assembly
GUCCUUAGUGUGUGCAUGGAUUCCUGUAAACAUGAACUUUGAAUUCAUAUCUUACAAAAAUAUAGACUUUAAGUUCAUGUUCACGAAAUCCAAGCGCCCGCUAAGGCC